This 500-nucleotide ribosomal RNA is filed under the name Enterococcus faecalis. RNAcentral's name for it is "partial 23S ribosomal RNA". It matches the Rfam family "Bacterial large subunit ribosomal RNA", at positions 204 to 708 of the family's 2925-position model. Lineage: Bacteria; Bacillati; Bacillota; Bacilli; Lactobacillales; Enterococcaceae. The record is from RNAcentral.
UAGUACCUGCAGGAAGAGAAAGAAAAUUCGAUUCCCUGAGUAGCGGCGAGCGAAACGGGAAGAGCCCAAACCAACAAGCUUGCUUGUUGGGGUUGUAGGACUCCGAUAUGGUAGUCUGUUAGUAUAGUUGAAGGAUUUGGAAAAUUCCGCUAAAGAGGGUGAAAGCCCCGUAGACGAAAUGCUGACAACACCUAGGAGGAUCCUGAGUACGGCGGAACACGAGAAAUUCCGUCGGAAUCCGCGGGGACCAUCCCGCAAGGCUAAAUACUCCCUAGUGACCGAUAGUGAACCAGUACCGUGAGGGAAAGGUGAAAAGCACCCCGGAAGGGGAGUGAAAUAGAUCCUGAAACCGUGUGCCUACAACAAGUCAAAGCUCGUUAAUGAGUGAUGGCGUGCCUUUUGUAGAAUGAACCGGCGAGUUACGAUUGCAUGCGAGGUUAAGUCGAAGAGACGGAGCCGCAGCGAAAGCGAGUCUGAAUAGGGCGAAUGAGUAUGUAGUC